AAUACAUUUGGAGCAAUUAGGCCAGUUAUCCCCCCUCACCAUUCAUCAUCCAAUCUGACCCCAUGUUUAGCAGCAAGGUAGUACGCAUUAACGGGUCCUCUACCCCCAGCCUCGUAGAGCUCAGGAGCUAUUCUAUUCUGAUCAAUCUCAUGGAUUAGUGGAGUUAGCACGUUCCAUGCAGCAGCUACUUCAUCACUGCGCAUGAAUAGAUGACUGUCUCCAUCAAGCACAUCAAGAAGAAGAUGCUCAUACGAAUCUGGCAUGUUCCCCAUACCUAUCCCUGUAAAGCAGGUUGAGUUCUGAAGCAUCUAACUGGAGCCCAAGUCCUGGGACCUUAUUGUUGACUUUCAAAAGGAUGGCUUCUUCAGGUUGAUCACGCAAGAUCAGCUCAUUUGUGUCAAGAUCUAUGUCAUGGCCAAAGCGUUCACGAUAGAUAUUGCCAGGAACAUGGCGAAACUGAAUACGAAUCUCAGCUCUGGAGAAAAUCCCAAUUCCUGUCUUGAUCAAAAAUGGUACUCCAUCCCAACGCGAAUUGUCAAUGUACAUGGCAGCAGCAAAAUAGGUUGGUGUCAAUGAUUUUGUAUAUCUGUCAACUUUCACAGAGGUAUCUUUCAGUUGACCAAGAACAACAUCCUCAAGGUUCACCUGUCGAAUUGAUCUGAGCACCUUCACCUACAUACAACACAAUUUAUUUUACCUUUUCAUCUCGGAUAUCCUCUCCAUCAAGGCUUACAGGUGGUUCCAUCGCAAAUAGUGCUAUUGUUUGAAGAAUGUGACUAUGCACUAUGUCACGAAUUAUGCCAUAAUUUCCAAAGUAUCUGCAAUAGAUGUGACAAUGCAAAAUUAGAGCUCUAAGAUAAUCACGAGAUGAUUGUGAAUUUCUUUGAAACAGCAAUGAGCUUGUCAUGCACAGAUUUAGUAACAACUAGGAUAAAAAUUGGUAUGUAAUCACAUCAGUUUGGAAAUCAACAACUCAUUAAGAUUUCAGUUACAUAACACCAGCAUAUCCCGGCUGUGUGCAUCACAUAUGAUGCAGAGGCUGGGAUUUUUGUUCCAUUAUCUAAAAACAUGACACCAUCAUAUCCGGAUUGUUUAAUCUGAAACAAGGUAGUGCCUAAUCAUGAAAUGGGCCAGAGCACAUUGUUUGCUACAUGAGGAUCAAAUCAAAUAUAUCAUUCAACAACAUACUCAAAAAAAUGGAUAGAGUUAAACUCACCUCCCUUGGAUUUCUGCUGCUGUUUCUUCAGAAAAUAUGACCUGUAACAGUUCGGGCAUGUUAACAAUGUACAUGCAACAAGAUAAAACGUUGUAAAUUGAGCGUGUGUAAAAUUUACCUGUACAUUGCGUAUAUAGGUGCGACUCCACAAAGGUUCAAACACCAAAUUAGAAAAUCUCAAGACGGUGAGAUUUUCAAUCAGAUCCUUCCCCAAAAGAUGAUCAAUCCUAUGGGAUAUAUAACAUUUCAUGUUUUAGUCGGAUACAUGUAGAGUUGCAAUUCAAAAACAAUUGAUGAGACAACCCAUUCAUAUAUGACAUUAGAGAUAACCUGUAAAUCUGCUCCUCCUCAAAUCUUGACAGCAGUGAUUGUGUUACCCGAUGUGAAGACAAACCAGUGAAGCCAAAUGGUUUCUCAAUUAUUAUCCUAUUCCAGCCUUGCAUAGUUUGGGCACUGUCAGCUAGUGACAGUGCAACAUCAAGAAGUGCCUCUUGGGGAACAGCAAGGUAAAAUAUCCUGUUUGCUGCACAAUUACCCUUUGAAACAAAUAGGCCUAUUAAUGAACCAUGUAAGCCCUUACAAAAUGAUUUUUUUUUCUAAAGGAAUUCUACGUUUAAGUAUAAAGCUUAAAUCUGGUCUCACAUAAAUAAAACAGUUUUUUAAUCCGAAAUUUACCUCUAUCUGUGACAUUUUGGAAUUUAGUUUCACCAUCCCAUCUUUGUUGUCAUAUCCUGCAUCUAUAUAGUAUGUCCUUUUAAGAAAUUCAUUUAACUUUUCAUCACAAUUACAACUGGGUGCUACCAAAGAGACAUACUGGUGGUCAACCCGGCAGGUCAAAUUGGCUUCAAUCAUGGAUCUUAAAUCUUCAUCCGUUAGUGUCUUCCUAGAAUACCCAAAUAUACCGACAUUCUGAGGAAGAAAACCACUGUAAUACAGAGCAAAUAGUGCAGGGAACACUUUAUUUUUUGCCAGUUCACCAGUUGCUCCAAUUACAGCAAUGCAAAGAGGCGCUGCGCUUUCAGGUGGGUCGUCGAAUAGAACAGGGUCUUCCUUCAGCACAGGAGGAUGGGUUUCAGAGGGGUUAAGUUUGUGAUGCAUUGAACUUUGCUCAAUGACUGAACUAAUUGGUUUUCCCAAUACCAACCAUACGCGAGUUGUACGUCCCGAGACAUUAUAUUCUCAGUCAGUGGUGUAGCCUCCAACCAAUCAGGCACUUUAUCAUUGGCUCGGACUUCUAGAUUCCUUCGAAGCUGCCAUCCAUGCCUCUUCAAGGCCUUCCGGAACUUCAGCUUUGCAGCGAUCAAACAUCUCAGUCCACAAACUCGUGUUCUAAAAUUGGCAGCAGGUCCUGCAACCUGCCGCCGCCGCCGGCCGGAAGGACGCCGGCGCCGGAGCUGGGGAAGCCGACACCGCGAGCCCCGCCAUUCCUGCCUGUGCUGCUGCCGCU
This 2663-nucleotide small RNA is filed under the name Oryza sativa Japonica Group (Japanese rice). RNAcentral describes it as "sRNA Os03g0318550". Lineage: Eukaryota; Viridiplantae; Streptophyta; Magnoliopsida; Poales; Poaceae. The record is from RNAcentral.